UCCAGCUUCUUGAAUGGGAUCUCCAGCCGCCCAUCGAACUGUCUUCCUGGCUCAACUUCCCCUGAGCCAGGCCGGCGGCCGAUAGGCGCGGAUGGGGAUCCGAUUUAAGAAUCAGCAGGCA
Molecule: non-coding RNA, 121 nt
Filed under: Arthrobacter sp. 9V
Lineage: Bacteria; Bacillati; Actinomycetota; Actinomycetes; Micrococcales; Micrococcaceae
Description: mraW
Rfam family: mraW RNA
Source: RNAcentral